RNAcentral lists this ribosomal RNA (449 nucleotides) under uncultured prokaryote. RNAcentral describes it as "bacterial SSU rRNA". It matches the Rfam family "Bacterial small subunit ribosomal RNA", at positions 355 to 796 of the family's 1533-position model. The record is from RNAcentral.
UGGGGAAUAUUGGACAAUGGGGGCAACCCUGAUCCAGCAAUGCCGCGUGUGUGAAGAAGGCCUGCGGGUUGUAAAGCACUUUCAGUAGGGAAGAAAUGUUUGGGGUUAAUACCCCCGAAUCUUGACGUCACCUACAGAAGAAGCACCGGCUAACUCCGUGCCAGCAGCCGCGGUAAUACGGAGGGUGCGAGCGUUAAUCGGAAUUACUGGGCGUAAAGCGCGCGUAGGCGGUUUGGUCAGUCGGAUGUGAAAGCCCCGGGCUUAACCUGGGAAUUGCAUUCGAUACUGCCAAGCUAGAGUAUGGGAGAGGGAAGUGGAAUUUCCGGUGUAGCGGUGAAAUGCGUAGAUAUCGGAAGGAACACCAGUGGCGAAGGCGACUUCCUGGACCAAUACUGACGCUCAGGCGCGAAAGCGUGGGUAGCGAACAGGAUUAGAUACCCCCGUAGUCC